RNAcentral lists this ribosomal RNA (469 nucleotides) under uncultured bacterium. RNAcentral describes it as "bacterial SSU rRNA". It matches the Rfam family "Bacterial small subunit ribosomal RNA", at positions 30 to 490 of the family's 1533-position model. The record is from RNAcentral.
AUUGAACGCUGGCGGCAUGCCUUACACAUGCAAGUCGAACGGCAGCGGGCCUUCGGGUGCCGGCGAGUGGCGAACGGGUGAGUAAUGCAUCGGAACGUGCCAUUGAGUGGGGGGAUAACGUAGCGAAAGUUGCGCUAAUACCGCAUAUUCUGUGAGCAGGAAAGCAGGGGACCGCAAGGCCUUGCGCUCUUUGAGCGGCCGAUGUCAGAUUAGCUAGUUGGUGAGGUAAAGGCUUACCAAGGCGACGAUCUGUAGCGGGUCUGAGAGGAUGAUCCGCCACACUGGAACUGAGACACGGUCCAGACUCCUACGGGAGGCAGCAGUGGGGAAUUUUGGACAAUGGGGGCAACCCUGAUCCAGCCAUGCCGCGUGAGUGAAGAAGGCCUUCGGGUUGUAAAGACUCUUUCGGUCCGGGAAGAAAUCGCAUGGGUGAAUACCCUGUGUGGAUGACGGUACCGGAACGAAGAAG